Populus trichocarpa (black cottonwood) is the source of this 901-nucleotide long non-coding RNA. RefSeq lists it as uncharacterized. The transcript is spliced from 2 exons. NCBI's taxonomy places the organism in Eukaryota, Viridiplantae, Streptophyta, Magnoliopsida, Malpighiales, Salicaceae. The record is from RefSeq and is a predicted model, not a curated record.
CUGUUUCUUUGUUGGAUUUUGUUUUCUCUUCAGCCGGCCACGAAAGAUUUUCCUUCUCCCUCUCCAGCCGGUUCCAACAUCUUCUUCUUCCCUCACCGGCUAGCAGGAGUCUUUCCUUCACCAGCAGCCGCUGUCCCAUUCCAGCCGGCGCUCCUUUACCUUCCUUCUCCCAUAGCCGGGUCUCUCUCAACUGACCCAGCAGCUGCUCCAUCUCUUCCACCAAGAGCAGCGGCAGCAGCACUCAGCAACAAGGCCAACCACCGCUGCCAACAACAGGAGCAAACACCACCGGCGCGCCACCAGCCUCGACAGCUCCACCAAGCGCAGCGGCAGCCCCCGCUGUCUUCUUCUCCUCCGAUCUCCAUCAACGCCGGCUCCACAAGGUCACAGCAGCAGAGCCGUUCCCCAUCUCCUCAGACCCACGGCUCCCGCUUCAACCAGCGAGUCUUUCCUUCCUCAACCGCCGAACAGCCUCCAGCGGCAGCAACCAACCCAGCAGCGCCCACAGACCAGCAAUCCUUGGUCAUGCCGCCGGUCACCUGAACUGAAGGAGAGGGAGACGCAACGGCAACGAAAGAACAGAUCUGCCGAUCUGCAGAUCUAAAGGAAAAAGGGAGGCAAAUUCAAAAACCUGUGAUUGUUUGUGUUUUCUCUUGUUUCUGCAGGUCACCGACAGUACGGACGGGAAGAGGAGAAGGAGACGAUCCCGAUCUACUAGCUUGAUGGUCUUCACCGGCUGUGGCGCGUAGGCCCACGCGCCGCCAGUGACGGUGGCGCGUGGGAGGACGCGCCACCAUGAAUUUCUGCAAUUCCAGAAGGGUUCCUUUGCAAUUCCUGGAGUUUUAGGGACUGUUUUGUAAAUUUUAAAUUAUUUGAUGUAAUUUUUAUUUAUUUAUGAAUU